AAAAUACUAAACUUAGAGGAAAAUCAAUUCGGAAAGUCCAUAAUCACAUGGCAAAAUCAAAUAACAAAACGUAUCAAAAACGAAUGGACAAGAACUGUCAUAUUCCUGACUUGGUACAGGCAUUUUCAAAUGUAGAAAAUGGUGGAUUAAACCUGGUUCUAUAUCGCUAACCCUCUCACUUUAAUGACAGUCUCAUCAAAUUCCGUUAUAUUUACAUUGAUGCGUUAAAUAAAUAGACACAAAAAAUAAAAUAGUCAAACUAUGGGUACAUCAGUCAUCAUCGUAUAACAAUUUUAAAAGGAACAA
Molecule: long non-coding RNA, 306 nt
Filed under: Mytilus galloprovincialis (Mediterranean mussel)
Lineage: Eukaryota; Metazoa; Mollusca; Bivalvia; Mytilida; Mytilidae
Source: RNAcentral